CUGUGAUUGGAAUUGGGGGAAAUAAAUCUCUAGAAUUCGCUUCCUUCAAUCGGGAGGUGAAGAUCGAGAAACCCUAAAGGAGAGGAAUUCCGUGAAGAAGGAAGCGAUGGAGACAAAGGAGGCAGCUAUUUAGGGCUCCUCGAUUUCGAUCGAGAGAAAGAGAAAGAGACGAGAAACGAAAGAGAAUGAGAAAUGAGAGAGAGGAAAAUUAUAAAAUAC
Molecule: unclassified non-coding RNA, 219 nt
Filed under: Hevea brasiliensis (rubber tree)
Lineage: Eukaryota; Viridiplantae; Streptophyta; Magnoliopsida; Malpighiales; Euphorbiaceae
Source: RNAcentral